GAUGAAGAACGUAGUGAAAUGCGAUAAGUAGUGUGAAUUGCAGAAUUCAGUGGAUCAUCGAAUCUUUGAACGCACAUUGCGCCCCUUGGUAUUCCAAGGGGCAUGCCUGUUCGAGCGUCAUUUGUACCUUCAAGCUUUGCUUGGUGUUGGGUGCUUGUCUUUUUGUUAAGACUCACCUCAAAGUCAUUGGCAGCCAGUGUUUUGGUAGUAAGCGCAGCACAUUUUGCGUCUUGGUCCCUUAACAGCAGCAUCCAUCAAGCCAUUUUCUCACUUUUGACCUCGGAUCAGGUAGGGAUACCCGCUGAACUUAAGCAUAUCAAUAAGCGGAGGA
Molecule: unclassified non-coding RNA, 331 nt
Filed under: soil metagenome
Description: partial contains 5.8S ribosomal RNA, internal transcribed spacer 2, and large subunit ribosomal RNA
Rfam family: 5.8S ribosomal RNA (bases 1-120)
Source: RNAcentral